This 332-nucleotide unclassified non-coding RNA is filed under the name soil metagenome. Its description in RNAcentral is "partial contains 5.8S ribosomal RNA, internal transcribed spacer 2, and large subunit ribosomal RNA". The stretch from base 1 to 120 matches the Rfam family "5.8S ribosomal RNA", at positions 35 to 154 of the family's 154-position model. The record is from RNAcentral.
GAUGAAGAACGCAGCGAAAUGCGAUACGUAAUGUGAAUUGCAGAUUUCAGUGAAUCAUCGAAUCUUUGAACGCACAUUGCGCCCGCUAGUAUUCUGGCGGGCAUGCCUGUUCGAGCGUCAUUUCAACCAUCAAGCCCUAGGCUUGCGUUGGAGCCCUGCGGCUGCCGCAGGCUCCCAAAUCCAGUGGCGGGCUCGUCGUCGUACCGAGUGCAGUAAACAUCCUCGCUCAGGGAACGUGACGGGUUCUUGCCGUCAAACCCCCCACAUAUCAAGGUUGACCUCGGAUCAGGUAGGAAUACCCGCUGAACUUAAGCAUAUCAAUAAGCGGAGGA